GUGGCCGAAAGGGGAGGGGGAAGUAGGAAACACGGGAAAGGAGGGCGAGGAGGAGUUGCACUGGCUAAACUUAGGCGGGGAGGUAGAGAACCCAGGCCUGACAGUCUCGAGUGUGUGGAGCCUGAAGGGAAAGAGCAUGCACGCGGCUAGGGGCGGAAGGAGGGCGGUUUGGAGGGCCAAGGACGCCGCGGGUAGGCGAGGGAGGGGGAUUCCACAGCCGAGUUUCUGCACCACCACCACCCCCAGCUCCCUGUUCAAAGAAGUCAUGGCAGCCUUCUCUCUCCUGGAAAGGAAAGAAGGAAAAGAUCCAGAGCUGGAAAUUUUUAGAGUCCAUCCACUCCAAUCCCUCAUUUUACAGAAAUAGCCUUUCCCCCAGGAUGGCGCUGAAGGUGAAGAAGGAAGUGGUUGUGCCCCCCAAGACAGAAGCCAAGUCCAAGGCCUUGAAGGCCAACAAGGCAGUGUUGAAGGGUGUUGAUAGCCACAAAAAGAAAAAGAUCUGAUCCCUCACCUUCUGGCAACCCAAGACACUAAGACUUCCACGGCAGCCCAAAUACCCUUGGAAAAGUGCCCCUCAGAGAAACAAACUUGAUCACCAUGCCAUCAUUAAGUUUCCCUUGACUACUGAGUCUGCUAUGAAGAAGAUUGAGGACAACACCCUCAUCUUCAUUGUGGACAUCAAGACUAACGAGCAUCAGAUCAAGCAGGUGGUAAAGAAGCUGUAUGACAUCAACAUGGCCAAGGUCAACACACUGAUCUGGUCUGAUGGAGAGAAGGCCUAUGUCCAAUUUGCUCCAGACUGUGAUGCUUUAGAUGUUGCCAACAAAAUUGGAAUCAUCUAAACUGUGUCCAGCUACCCCACUCCACCUACGAUAAAAAGUUUUCCAGUGAAAAAUAAAUUAAAAUAAAAAUGAAGAAACA
This 918-nucleotide long non-coding RNA is filed under the name Phascolarctos cinereus (koala). RNAcentral's name for it is "lncRNA (ENSPCIG00000033620.1)". Lineage: Eukaryota; Metazoa; Chordata; Mammalia; Diprotodontia; Phascolarctidae. The record is from RNAcentral.